GUUGUAUGGUUAAGUGACUAAGCGUACAUGGUGGAUGCCUUGGCAGUCAGAGGCGAUGAAGGACGUACUAACCUGCGAUAAGCUGUGAGAAGUCGGUAAGAGACGCUAUUACUCACAGAUUUCCGAAUGGGGAAACCCACCCGAGAUAACUCGGGUAUCUGUUACUGAAUACAUAGGUAACAGAGGCGAACCGGGAGAACUGAAACAUCUAAGUACCCCGAGGAAAAGAAAUCAACCGAGAUUCCCUCAGUAGCGGCGAGCGAACGGGGAUUAGCCCUUAAGCAUCUUGGAAGUUAGUGGAACGGUCCUGGAAAGGCCGGCGAUACAGGGUGAUAGCCCCGUACACGAAAACAACCUUGAUGUGAAAUCGAGUAGGGCGGGACACGUGACAUCCUGUCUGAAUAUGGGGGGACCAUCCUCCAAGGCUAAAUACUCCUGACUGACCGAUAGUGAACCAGUACCGUGAGGGAAAGGCGAAAAGAACCCCUGUGAGGGGAGUGAAAUAGAACCUGAAACCGUGUACGUACAAGCAGUGGGAGCCCUUCGGGGUGACUGCGUACCUUUUGUAUAAUGGGUCAGCGACUUACAUUUUGUAGCGAGGUUAACCGUAUAGGGGAGCCGUAGGGAAACCGAGUCUUAACUGGGCGUCUAGUUGCAAGGUGUAGACCCGAAACCGGGUGAUCUAGCCAUGGGCAGGUUGAAGGUUGAGUAACAUCAACUGGAGGACCGAACCCACUAACGUUGCAAAGUUAGGGGAUGACCUGUGGCUGGGGGUGAAAGGCCAAUCAAACUCGGAGAUAGCUGGUUCUCCCCGAAAGCUAUUUAGGUAGCGCCUCGGACGAAUACUACUGGGGGUAGAGCACUGUUUGGGCUAGGGGGUCAUCCCGACUUACCAACCCCAUGCAAACUCCGAAUACCAGUAAGUAAUAUCCGGGAGACACACGGCGGGUGCUAACGUCCGUCGUGAAGAGGGAAACAACCCAGACCGCCGGCUAAGGUCCCAAAGUUCUGGUUAAGUGGGAAACGAUGUGGGAAGGCUCAGACAGCUAGGAUGUUGGCUUAGAAGCAGCCAUCAUUUAAAGAAAGCGUAAUAGCUCACUAGUCGAGUCGGCCUGCGCGGAAGAUGUAACGGGGCUCAAACCAGGCACCGAAGCCGCGGAUUCACACUUAUGUGUGAGUGGUAGGGGAGCGUUCUGUAAGUCUGCGAAGGUGUAUCGAGAGGUAUGCUGGAGAUAUCAGAAGUGCGAAUGCUGACGUAAGUAACGAUAAAGGGGGUGAAAAGCCUCCUCGCCGGAAGACCAAGGGUUCCUGUCCAACGUUAAUCGGGGCAGGGUGAGUCGACCCCUAAGGCGAGGCCGAAAGGCGUAGUCGAUGGGAAGCAGGUUAAUAUUCCUGCACGACUUGUAAUUGCGAUGGGGGGACGGAGAAGGCUAGGUGGGCCAGGCGACGGUUGUCCUGGUGAAAGUGCGUAGGUGGUGUUUCCAGGCAAAUCCGGAGACACAACACUGAGACACGAGACGAACACACUACGGUGUGGAAGCCAUUGAUGCCCUGCUUCCAGGAAAAGCCUCUAAGCUUCAGAUUACAAGUCAUCGUACCCCAAACCGACACAGGUGGUCGGGUAGAGAAUACCAAGGCGCUUGAGAGAACUCGGGUGAAGGAACUAGGCAAAAUAGAACCGUAACUUCGGGAGAAGGUUCGCUCCUGACAGUGAAGUCCCUUGCGGAUGGAGCAGUUGGGAGUCGCAGUGACCAGAUGGCUGGGACUGUUUAUCAAAAACACAGCACUCUGCAAACACGAAAGUGGACGUAUAGGGUGUGACACCUGCCCGGUGCCGGAAGGUUAAUUGUGGGGUUAGCGCAAGCGAAGCUCUUGAUCGAAGCCCCGGUAAACGGCGGCCGUAACUAUAACGGUCCUAAGGUAGCGAAAUUCCUUGUCGGGUAAGUUCCGACCUGCACGAAUGGUGUAACCAUGGCCAUGCUGUCUCCACCCGAGACUCAGUGAAAUCGAAUUCGCCGUGAAGAUGCGGUGUACCCGCGGCUAGACGGAAAGACCCCGUGAACCUUUACUACAGCUUGGCACUGAACAUUGAACCUACAUGUGUAGGAUAGGUGGGAGGCUUU
This 2123-nucleotide ribosomal RNA is filed under the name Aeromonas veronii. RNAcentral's name for it is "bacterial LSU rRNA". It matches the Rfam family "Bacterial large subunit ribosomal RNA", at positions 1 to 2158 of the family's 2925-position model. Lineage: Bacteria; Pseudomonadati; Pseudomonadota; Gammaproteobacteria; Aeromonadales; Aeromonadaceae. The record is from RNAcentral.